Molecule: transfer RNA, 71 nt
Filed under: Aliifodinibius sp. S!AR15-10
Lineage: Bacteria; Pseudomonadati; Balneolota; Balneolia; Balneolales; Balneolaceae
Description: tRNA-Cys
Rfam family: tRNA
About the family: Transfer RNA (tRNA) molecules are approximately 80 nucleotides in length. Their secondary structure includes four short double-helical elements and three loops (D, anti-codon, and T loops). Further hydrogen bonds mediate the characteristic L-shaped molecular structure. tRNAs have two regions of fundamental functional importance: the anti-codon, which is responsible for specific mRNA codon recognition, and the 3' end, to which the tRNAs corresponding amino acid is attached (by aminoacyl-tRNA synthetases). tRNAs cope with the degeneracy of the genetic code in two manners: having more than one tRNA (with a specific anti-codon) for a particular amino acid; and 'wobble' base-pairing, i.e. permitting non-standard base-pairing at the 3rd anti-codon position.
Source: RNAcentral
GGCGAUGUGCCCCGAGUGGUCAGGGGAGAGCUUGCAACGCUCUUACGGUGGUUCGAAUCCAUCCAUCGCCU